GACGUAGGGCGCGAGCGUUGUCCGGAUUUAUUGGGCGUAAAGAGCUCGUAGGCGGCUUGUCGCGUCGACUGUGAAAACCCGCGGCUCAACUGUGGGCUUGCAGUCGAUACGGGCAGGCUAGAGUUCGGUAGGGGAGACUGGAAUUCCUGGUGUAGCGGUGAAAUGCGCAGAUAUCAGGAGGAACACCGGUGGCGAAGGCGGGUCUCUGGGCCGAUACUGACGCUGAGGAGCGAAAGCGUGGGGAGCGAACAGG
Molecule: ribosomal RNA, 253 nt
Filed under: uncultured bacterium
Lineage: Bacteria
Description: partial 16S ribosomal RNA
Rfam family: Bacterial small subunit ribosomal RNA
Source: RNAcentral